RNAcentral lists this ribosomal RNA (253 nucleotides) under uncultured bacterium. RNAcentral's name for it is "partial 16S ribosomal RNA". It matches the Rfam family "Bacterial small subunit ribosomal RNA", at positions 524 to 776 of the family's 1533-position model. The record is from RNAcentral.
UACGUAGGGUGCGAGCGUUGUCCGGAAUUACUGGGCGUAAAGAGCUCGUAGGUGGUUUGUCGCGUUGUUCGUGAAAACUCACAGCUUAACUGUGGGCGUGCGGGCGAUACGGGCAGACUGGAGUACUGCAGGGGAGACUGGAAUUCCUGGUGUAGCGGUGGAAUGCGCAGAUAUCGGGAGGAACACCGGUGGCGAAGGCGGCGACCUGGGUUGACAUUGACGCUGAGGCGCGAAAGCGUGGGGAGCAAACAGG